This is a non-coding RNA of Camellia sinensis, 426 nucleotides long. NCBI's taxonomy places the organism in Eukaryota, Viridiplantae, Streptophyta, Magnoliopsida, Ericales, Theaceae. The record is from RefSeq and is a predicted model, not a curated record.
CUCUCUCCUCUCUCUCUCUCUCUUCCUCAAUCUCGCUUUCUCUCUUUCUCUCAAUCUCGUGCUCUCUCUCCUUUGAUCUUCUCAAAUUAGCACCUCUACUACACAUGUAUAUGUACCUCUAUAUAUUAUGUAUAUGUUGUGAAUAUCAAUGUUUGAAAUUGAAUUUAUUCUGUUGAGGUCCGAGCAAGAAUCGAAGUAGACGUCCUCAACUUCCUCAAGAUCUUGAACUCUUCGACUCCGACAAUCUCAUAUUUCUUUGAUCAAUAGAAGAUGGAAUAAUAGCUGAGGGUUUGUUGACUGAUGUUUCGUGGAUUUUUCUUUCUCACUCGUUUUGCACGAGGUCUUUGAUGAGAGUUAACUAACACUGCUGAAUCUUUCAUUAGCUAUAUCGCUGUAGAUUCAGGAGCAGGGGUUUCCGGCGAAGCC